CAGCAGCCGCGGUAAUACAGAGGGUGCGAGCGUUAAUCGGAUUUACUGGGCGUAAAGCGUGCAUAGGCGGCUUUUUAAGUCGGAUGUGAAAUCCCUGAGCUUAACUUAGGAAUUGCAUUCGAUACUGGGAAGCUAGAGUAUGGGAGAGGAUGGUAGAAUUCCAGGUGUAGCGGUGAAAUGCGUAGAGAUCUGGAGGAAUACCGAUGGCGAAGGCAGCCAUCUGGCCUAAUACUGACGCUGAGGUACGAAAGCAUGGGGAGCAAACAGGAUUAGAUACCCCAGUAGUCCCUGUCUCUUAUAC
Molecule: ribosomal RNA, 301 nt
Filed under: uncultured bacterium
Lineage: Bacteria
Description: partial 16S ribosomal RNA
Rfam family: Bacterial small subunit ribosomal RNA
Source: RNAcentral